AUCAUGAUCGAGAUCAUCAAAGGUCCUAUCAGGGUGACUCAAUAUGAAUCAAGUAUUACAAAUUUCGAAUAGGAUCGGACUGGGAUCAGAUCUACUGUACGAAUUUGGGAGCAAUCUCAAUUCAUCAUAUUUUUAUUUCAAAUAUAUCCUAGGGUCUGUGAUGCAAUCAGAGAGAGGGUAGAAAGAUUCUAGAGAGAUAAAAUCCACAAAAAGAGAGAAAGAUCUAGAGGGAAAAUAGAGAGAUAAUCUAGAGAGAGAAAUUGGAGAGAGAAGGCAGAGAGAGGAGAGAGAAAAAAUUUUUCUCUCUUCUUCUUCUUUUUAUUUUAUUUUAUUUUUAUUUUUGUCUUUCUCUUUUUCUUUUUUUUCUUUUUCUUUUCUUUUUCUUUUUCCUUUUUCUUUUCUUUUCUUUUCUUCUUCUUCUUUCUUCUUUUCUUUUCUUCCCGCGGCCUCCCUUGGCUGAAACAGAGGAAGACCGUGAGGUCCCCCCCCCUCGGUGGCUCGGCUCCGACGGGGUGGUGGCUUGCCCGGAGAUCCGACAACGGCCGGCGAUGGGGUUCGACCGACGGUGGCCAGCAGCGGAUGGCCGGCAGCGAAGAGGAGAACGGCGGCA
This 610-nucleotide long non-coding RNA is filed under the name Elaeis guineensis (African oil palm). RNAcentral describes it as "long non-coding RNA (EGUI_LNC080314)". Lineage: Eukaryota; Viridiplantae; Streptophyta; Magnoliopsida; Arecales; Arecaceae. The record is from RNAcentral.